RNAcentral lists this ribosomal RNA (477 nucleotides) under uncultured bacterium. RNAcentral's name for it is "partial 16S ribosomal RNA". It matches the Rfam family "Bacterial small subunit ribosomal RNA", at positions 28 to 507 of the family's 1533-position model. The record is from RNAcentral.
GAUGAACGCCGGCGGCGUGCCUAACACAUGCAAGUCGAACGAAGCACCUUACCUGAUUCUUCGGAUGAAAGUUUGGUGACUGAGUGGCGGACGGGUGAGUAACGCGUGGGUAACCUGCCCUGUACAGGGGGAUAACAGCUGGAAACGGCUGCUAAUACCGCAUAAGCGCACGAGGAGACAUCUCCUUGUGUGAAAAACUCCGGUGGUACAGGAUGGGCCCGCGUCUGAUUAGCUGGUUGGCAGGGUAACGGCCUACCAAGGCAACGAUCAGUAGCCGGUCUGAGAGGAUGAACGGCCACAUUGGAACUGAGACACGGUCCAAACUCCUACGGGAGGCAGCAGUGGGGAAUAUUGCACAAUGGGGGAAACCCUGAUGCAGCAACGCCGCGUGAGUGAAGGAGUAUUUCGGUAUGUAAAGCUCUAUCAGCAGGGAAGAUAAUGACGGUACCUGACUAAGAAGCUCCGGCUAAAUACGUG